GCUGGGUGGGGUGGCAUGUGCCUGUAGUCCCAGCUACUUGGGAGGCUGAGGUGGAAGGAUCGCUUGAGCCCAGGAGUUCUGGGCUGUAGUGCGCUAUGCCAGUCGGGCAUCCGCACUAAGUUCGGCAUCAGUAUGGUGACUGCUCAGGAGUGGAGGACCACCAGGUUGCCUAAGGAGGGGUAAACUGGCCCAGGUUGGAAACGGAGCAGUUCAAAACUCCUGUGCUGAUCAGUAGUGGGAACGUACCUGUGAAUAGCCACGGCACUCCAGCCUGGGCAACACAGUAAGACCCCCAUCUCUU
This is an unclassified non-coding RNA of Callithrix jacchus (white-tufted-ear marmoset), 301 nucleotides long. It matches the Rfam family "Metazoan signal recognition particle RNA". Rfam says of the family: The signal recognition particle (SRP) is a universally conserved ribonucleoprotein. It is involved in the co-translational targeting of proteins to membranes. The eukaryotic SRP consists of a 300-nucleotide 7S RNA and six proteins: SRPs 72, 68, 54, 19, 14, and 9. The record is from Ensembl. Lineage: Eukaryota; Metazoa; Chordata; Mammalia; Primates; Cebidae.